RNAcentral lists this long non-coding RNA (3034 nucleotides) under Homo sapiens (human). Its description in RNAcentral is "HSALNT0389680". Lineage: Eukaryota; Metazoa; Chordata; Mammalia; Primates; Hominidae. The record is from RNAcentral.
CACCCCCUGGGGAAUCAGCUGUCCCCCAGGUUUCUCCUACCUGGAGCUGGAGGGAAGGGGGACCACUAGGAAGGGGGCCAACCCCUCCUUGAUCUGCACAGUGGGUCACAGGACUGACAGGGCUCUCCCUCCCUGCCUGCCACUCAUGGGUCCCCCCCUUAACCCCCCUCUUUUCCACUUCCUGCCGUGACUGGAGAUCAGAGAACUCCCCACCGCAGCUUCCCCUUCUCAAGUCUCGAUUCCUGGGCUGAAGGUUUCACUGUAGGGCGAGGGACAGAGGGAAGGAGGGCUGAGGACCUGCGGUAGGACCCAGGGGACAGAGGCUCCGGGGGGAGGGCCGGGAUAAAGCCACUCCAAGGUAGGUGUGUACACACAGACACACAGCGAGUGGGUCACGGUGACACUGCCUGCGGGGUACAGUGACACAUGGAGACUGCCUGACCUCAAGUAACUCUGUGGGGAGAGGGAACAGCCAGAGGACCCAGCCCCGGCGUGCCCCACUCUUGCCCUGUCCUGAGCCUCCAGGUUCAUCUCCGGCAUCUACUGGCCUCCAGGCAAGCAAGAGAAAAAGAACAGAAGUUCCCAGCGGCGGUUCUGCAACAGCUCGAGCGCGGGGGACACGCGCAGCAGACGGCCCCAGACGCCUCAAGGCUGCGCGCGAAGACACGGCGCAGGCAGACUCACAGACGGGGCUCCCCCACCCUGGACACGGCGGCAGCGAGUUGGGAAGCCCAGGAAACCCCGGGUUCCCGUCGGAAGCCUCCCGGUACCCAGUCCCCUCCCGCAGCACCAAUCUGGGGCAGGACAUGGGGCCCCGACGCCUGCGGGAACCAGGGGCUCCCCAAAAUCCCCAGGGGAGGAAUUACCUCGCAGCGGGGGAAGCAACCCGUUCGGGGUGCCAGCGAGCACAGCGUCUGCCCUAACCCGGCGCCCUGGUGCUGCUCGGCAUCAGGGUGCGGGGUCCCGGGAGAGGAGCCGUCCAGGGGGCCGCGGCUCAGGGGCGCGGGGCGAUGGCAGCGGCCAUAGCGAGUCACGUGCGGAGGCUGAAACUUUACCCGGAGCCCCAGACUGAAGGGGCGGAGGGUACGGAGCAGAGGUAGGGGGAGGCCCUGUCCCUCAGGCCCGCCCCUGCCCGCCCACCGACCAAUCACCAGUCAGGGGCGGAUCUACAGGCUCACGCCCGCCCCCGCCUCUCCUUAAUAGACCUCGGGAAGGGCGAGUCUUAAAGGAGCCACUCCUAGUUGAAGACUGGACCGUGGGAAUCCGGGAGAAUCCCUCCCUCAGACCCAGAACCGAAGAUUCAGAGCAAGAACGGGGUGAGGUUCUGCGGAAAGAAUGAAAAUAGCGCUCGGUGGAGAAGACCGCAGCGUGUGGUAUCCUACACUCCUUUCCCCCCAACCACACACACACCCACACCUAAAUCUGAGAAGUGAGGCGGCGGCGUAAUAUGGAAGUGAGUGCGGUGACUCCUGCCCUAGCUGUCAAGCCCCUGAAUCCUAUAAUUAUAAUCCUCUUCUAGGGACCAGCUGGAACUGAGAGCUGUGUGACCUUGACCAAGUCACUUCCCUUCCCUGGAUCUUAAUUAUCUCAGCUGCAAGAAAAAGAAAAAAAAAAAAAGAGUCCAGGAGUAGAUCUCCCGCAAGUAUAUCUCUUCUUUCCCCAAACACCUCUGCAGCUCCAGUGGGUCCUAGGAACCCUGGCUCAACCCAACCCUCCCAGCCCCCUUAAAGUACUCUUCUCCUCAAAGGGCAAGACUUUUGGAUCUUCCAGUAGGGGCGCCCAGGAGCACCCCUCCGUGCUCAAAGACUCACACUCAAGCUUCUCUCUCCCGAACAAGUCUGGAGAAGCCAGGAAAGCUCUUUUUCAUGUUCCAGCUGGACAGGAUCUGAAUCACCCUCCAUCUGAGAGACCCCCAGUCCCCAAUACAGUCAUGACCCCCCUCCCAGCCUGCAGCUCUGUUUGGGAGGAUCCUGUCCCCAUCGCUAGCAGUCCACUGGCGGGCUUAGGGGGAAGCAGAAUUGCUUAGAAUACUCCCCUCUCGCCCUGUUCCCAGGCAGAGAAGUGGCCACAAGUGCCCCCACAGAACUUCCCACUGGAAGGGGAAGUGCUGCACUCCCAGGCCUCCAGCCCAGUGAGGAGACUCUCAGCCUGACCCGGUGGCAGAGCUCUCAAACCCACUGGUCCGACGGACCCCGCUUUACAAACAAGGAAAGAGAGUCCAAGAGCAGGCACUGGGUUUUGUGCACAGUCGCACCGGUUGCAGAGCCGGGUCUAGAAUUGAAGUAUCUGAUUGUCCCUGGCUUUAGCCCAAGAGCCAUGGUAAGGUAGGACAAGCCAGGAUGGCGGGACCCUUUGCCCUGAGGGCCGGCGCACGGGAAACUGCCCCAGCAGUGCUGGGCCGCGCUUCCCCAGGCCCCUUCCCGCCUGCUGGGCCGGAGCUGUCUCCCGCUCCCGUCUGGAUUUCCGUCCGCCGGUGCGAACCUCCCGCCCAGCCCCUCCCGCCCUGUCCUGUCCAGAUUCAUCCGCAAACAUGCGCUCAGCCGGCAGGAAUGCGCCAAUGGCUCCCAGAUGUGGACGCCACCGCUUAACCCCUUACCCCCCAGCCGCGCUCCCCCAAGGGCCUUCCAGCCUGAGCCCCGCCAACAGCAGGGAGCUCUGCCCAGCCUGUGGAAACUCCUGAAGAACAGCAUUAAGUGAUACUCCGAAGAGAUGAUGAGAAGCAAUUGGCCCUCCAAGACCAUGGUGCGGGAGUUUGUUGGAACCAGCUCCAGCUGACUCCUCUUCCCCUCCCAAGCCUCCUAGCUCAUCCCAAAAGGAGCUCCUCCCACAAGUACCUUAAUAGUCCCACUCCAUUUGAUUCUCACAGUCCUGAAGGGGCAGGCUCCUGUUGCCAUUGUAGAGAUGAAAAAACUGAGGCUCAAAAAGAAAAUUGCCUUCCUCAACGUCAUACAGCUUGUCAAUGGCAGGGCUGGGAUUCAAACCCAGGCCAGGUAUGGUGGCUCACACCUUUAAUUCUAGCACUUUGGGAGGCCAA